AUAAUGUCAAGGCUGAAGGUUGCUAGCGUUUUGUCAAACGCUUAUCACAUCGUUACUAGUACGUAAUAUUAUAUAUAGUCAGUAUAAGUGUCAGUCAUGUUGGACUUAGGAGGUCCUUCUGUUAAGCUUUCUUUUGAUUUUCUUCAUGUACUUUUAUUUUAAGUUUUAUCUACGUGGCAAGGCCACUAGUCUUAACGGUGUCAAACUUUAUGUAAAACAUAUUUGAAGCAUAUAUAUGUGAAGUAGUAUCUUUUAAUUAA
This 260-nucleotide long non-coding RNA is filed under the name Lathyrus oleraceus (garden pea). Its description in RNAcentral is "Pisum sativum (pea) long non-coding RNA (PSAT_LNC017226)". Lineage: Eukaryota; Viridiplantae; Streptophyta; Magnoliopsida; Fabales; Fabaceae. The record is from RNAcentral.